AACGAACGCUGGCGGCAUGCCUAACACAUGCAAGUCGAACGAGACCUUCGGGUCUAGUGGCGCACGGGUGCGUAACGCGUGGGAACCUGCCCUUAGGUUCGGAAUAACUCCCCGAAAGGGGUGCUAAUACCGGAUAAUGUCUUCGGACCAAAGAUUUAUCGCCUUUGGAUGGGCCCGCGUUGGAUUAGCUAGUUGGUAGGGUAAAAGCCUACCAAGGCGACGAUCCAUAGCUGGUCUGAGAGGAUGAUCAGCCACACUGGGACUGAGACACGGCCCAGACUCCUACGGGUGGCAGCAGUGGGGAAUAUUGGACAAUGGGCGAAAGCCUGAUCCAGCAAUGCCGCGUGAGUGAUGAAGGCAUUAGGGUUGUAAAGCUCUUUUACCCGGGAUGAUAAUGACAGUACCGGGAGAAUAAGCUCCGGCUAACUCCGUG
RNAcentral lists this ribosomal RNA (433 nucleotides) under uncultured bacterium. RNAcentral describes it as "partial 16S ribosomal RNA". It matches the Rfam family "Bacterial small subunit ribosomal RNA", at positions 29 to 507 of the family's 1533-position model. The record is from RNAcentral.